ACCCAGUCCGCGAGGACCGGACGGACCGCU
This 30-nucleotide small RNA is filed under the name Bombyx mori (domestic silkworm). RNAcentral describes it as "ovarian small RNA-11262". Lineage: Eukaryota; Metazoa; Arthropoda; Insecta; Lepidoptera; Bombycidae. The record is from RNAcentral.